UCAGCCUUCCUAUUCAAUAAUGCUUCCGUUUCUAAUCUAUUCACCUCCUUCAAUCAAGUUUCAAUUCAUGUCCAGUUUAUGCAUAUAGAGAGACAAUCUGGAAUAAAUCUCCAGAACUGGCGAGGAGAGGAAGGGUGCGAGGAGAGGAAGGGAUUUAACGGUGCCCUUUGUUUCUUUCUGGAUCUGUAAGCGAUACAAACCCUAUCUCAGAAUGAUGAAUUGAUGAGGAAGCGAACGUAUGAAGGGGAGUCCGGCUCCGAUUCCGAUUCCACCAAUACCGAUUUUGUCGCCGCCCUUGAAAACGACCUCAAUAUAUUUGAAAAGUAAUCCAAGACCUGGAUUGGCAUGUAUAUUCAUCGCCAGAUACUCAACACCAGCGGGGUGGUGUUCCGGUUAGUCGUACUUGACACGACAAUGUGGCAAUGGAAGAUUUGGGGAUUUAGGGUUCAUGAAGAAAAACGGUGAAAUGAUGCAGAUGUAGAUGAGACCUUGUUUGGAUGAAUUGAAAAGCUUUUUCUUCGAAUGAACACUCCAAGGAUGAAGCAUGGGGAGUUGGAAAACUGAGGCAUAAGAGGGUUGCGAAUUUGAUCGGAUCUUGCUGUGAUGGGGAUGAAAGGCUGCUUGUUGCAGAUAUGCCUAAUGAUACUUUAGCCAAACAUUUAUUUCACUGUUCCGCCUAAAAUUGGACCGUCAUCGUCGACGCCUACCUUCAUUUACCUCGUGAACUGUAAUGUCGACUAGGGCCCUGAUGUUUUCUUUAUACCAAUUAGGAGCUAAAUUAUAUGAAUGCAACUCACAUAAAACCUAGGCAACAACUCUCAAAAUCGAUGUUUUCUUUAUACCAAUUCAAAAGGCCUCGACUUUGUUGUUCGCUUAGGGCCUCCAAAAACGUUGGAACGGCCCUGCUCGAUCCCGAUAAGUGAAGCUAAGUUGUGUCCAGGUCUACCAGCAAUCUAUUUCAGCAGCCUGCAUCCAAGACUUGCCUCGAGAAAGGAUGCUUGUAGUCUUGUACAUGUGCUAGAUGAUUCGUGAUACAACUAUUCACACCCUUAUCAAGGCAGAAUGAUUUCAAAUUUUAGACUAUCUUUUAGCUUAUUGUUCCAAUCAAUUAUGUAGUUUCUUUGAAAUCAAACAUUAUAUGAUGUUAUCUGUUGCAACUAGGCUCAUAUUGGUGAUAAGGGCUUUAUUUGAUGGCUUGAGAUCCCAUAGUGAAACUAAACGGGUAAUCUUGAUGUGUAUUUUUUUUCAUCACAUAUCGUAGACUCCGCCGCAACGCGCG
Molecule: long non-coding RNA, 1279 nt
Organism: Helianthus annuus (common sunflower)
Lineage: Eukaryota; Viridiplantae; Streptophyta; Magnoliopsida; Asterales; Asteraceae
Exons: 4
Source: RefSeq, a predicted model, not a curated record